GGAAGCUUUCGGGUGGAAUGAACUUAACUUAGCGGCGGACGGGUGAGUAACGCGUGGACAACCUACCCUGUACAGGGGGAUAACAAUGGGAAACCAUUGCUAAUACCCCAUAACACCUUUUAGGGGCAUCCCUUUGAGGUCAAAGAAUUUCGGUACAGGAUGGGCCCGCGUCUGAUUAGCUAGUUGGUGAGGUAAUGGCUCACCAAGGCGACGAUCAGUAGCCGGCCUGAGAGGGUGAACGGCCACGCUGGAACUGAGACACGGUCCAGACUCCUACGGGAGGCAGCAGUGGGGAAUAUUGCACAGUGGUCGAAAGCCUGAUGCAGCAACGCCGCGUGAGCGAUGAAGGCUUUCGGGUCGUAAAGCUCUGUCCUAAGGGAAGAUAAUGACGGUACCUUAGGAGGAAGCCCCGGCUAACUACGUGCCAGCAGCCGCGGUAAUACGUAGGGGGCAAGCGUUAUCCGGAAUCAUUGGGCGUAAAGGGAGCGUAGGCGGCCCUAUAGGUCAGAGGUCAAAGGCUACGGCUCAACCGUAGUAAGCCUUUGAAACUGUAGGGCUUGAGUGCAGGAGAGGAGAGUGGAAUUCCUAGUGUAGCGGUGAAAUGCGUAGAUAUUAGGAGGAACACCAGUGGCGAAGGCGACUCUCUGGACUGCAACUGACGCUGAGGCACGAAAGCGUGGGGAGCGAACAGGAUUAGAUACCCUGGUAGUCCACGCCGUAAACGAUGAGUGCUAGGUGUCGGGGGUCGAACCUCGGUGCCGCAGCUAACGCAUUAAGCACUCCGCCUGGGGAGUACGUUCGCAAGAAUGAAACUCAAAGGAAUUGACGGGGACCCGCACAAGCAGCGGAGCAUGUGGUUUAAUUCGAAGCAACGCGAAGAACCUUACCUGGACUUGACAUCCCUCGGACCGCUUUUUAACCAAAGCCUUCCCUUCGGGGACUGAGGUGACAGGUGG
RNAcentral lists this ribosomal RNA (956 nucleotides) under uncultured bacterium. Its description in RNAcentral is "bacterial SSU rRNA". It matches the Rfam family "Bacterial small subunit ribosomal RNA", at positions 69 to 1041 of the family's 1533-position model. The record is from RNAcentral.